GGGGUCAUAGUAUAACCAGGUAGUACGGCAGGCUCCAGACCUGCAUACCGGAGUUCAAAUCUCCGUGACCCCA
This 73-nucleotide transfer RNA is filed under the name Microcaldota archaeon. Its description in RNAcentral is "tRNA-Trp". It matches the Rfam family "tRNA". From Rfam's summary of the family: Transfer RNA (tRNA) molecules are approximately 80 nucleotides in length. Their secondary structure includes four short double-helical elements and three loops (D, anti-codon, and T loops). Further hydrogen bonds mediate the characteristic L-shaped molecular structure. tRNAs have two regions of fundamental functional importance: the anti-codon, which is responsible for specific mRNA codon recognition, and the 3' end, to which the tRNAs corresponding amino acid is attached (by aminoacyl-tRNA synthetases). tRNAs cope with the degeneracy of the genetic code in two manners: having more than one tRNA (with a specific anti-codon) for a particular amino acid; and 'wobble' base-pairing, i.e. permitting non-standard base-pairing at the 3rd anti-codon position. Lineage: Archaea; Nanobdellati; Microcaldota. The record is from RNAcentral.